Molecule: ribosomal RNA, 406 nt
Filed under: uncultured bacterium
Lineage: Bacteria
Description: partial 16S ribosomal RNA
Rfam family: Bacterial small subunit ribosomal RNA
Source: RNAcentral
AUUGAACGCUGGCGGCAGGCCUAACACAUGCAAGUCGAACGAGUGGCGGACGGGUGAGUAAUGACUGGGAAUCUACCUGCUGGAGGGGGAUAACUACGGGAAACUGUAGCUAAUACCGCAUACCAUAGGAUGUGCCCAUCGGGGAUUAGGUAGGUGGUGGGGUAAAGGCUAACCAAGACGACGAUCUCUAGCUGGUCUGAGAGGAUGACCAGCCACACUGGGACUGAGACACGGCCCAGACUCCUACGGGAGGCAGCAGUGGGGAAUAUUGCGCAAUGGGGGCAAGCCUGACGCAGCCAUGCCGCGUGAAUGAAGAAGGCCUUCGGGUUGUAAAGUACUUUCGGUGGGGAGGCGUUACCUACAGAAGAAUCACCGGCUAACUCCGUGCCAGCAGCCGCGGUAAUUC